Long non-coding RNA from Bufo gargarizans (Asiatic toad), 669 nucleotides. RefSeq lists it as uncharacterized. The record is from RefSeq and is a predicted model, not a curated record. The transcript has 2 exons. NCBI's taxonomy places the organism in Eukaryota, Metazoa, Chordata, Amphibia, Anura, Bufonidae.
AGGAACUCAUCAGCUUCGAGUUGAUCUGACAGAUUUUGAAAAUAAUUACACUUUCGCCACUUGUAAGCUGAGUAUUGGCGCUUUCACUGGAGGCAGUACAGGUGACUCUCUCUCUUAUCACAACAAUCGCCCUUUCACAACCAAAGACAGAGACAAUGAUGAAUAUCCACAAAACUGUGCGGUAUCGUAUAAAGGUGCUUGGUGGUACGGAAGCUGCCAUAACUCCAAUCUGAACGGGCAGUAUCUGAGAGGAAAACACGCCAGCCACGCGGAUGGAGUUAAUUGGAAAUGCAGACCAGGGCAGUAUUACUCCUAUAAAAUAACAGAAAUGAAGUUCAGGCCAGUUUAGUACAUAGUGGGAACAGAGACCUAAUGAAUCAAGAUAAUGAAAUCAUCUAACAUAUAAUAGACACAGACCAAAAGGGUCAAGUCUGUGAUCUAGGACCACCACUAAUUUAUAGCCCACAAAUGAAAUAGUACAUUUCCAUACAUUUUACCAGUGAUUUGCGGCAUAUUAACAUGUGUAUUCCCAAUUAUGGAGGGGUUUAUAGUGUGUUUGUCUUCGUGUUUGAUGUACCCAGAAUUCAUAAAACAAUCUUUUAUAUGGCUGAUCUGUAUAUGCAUCCUCAUGUAUAAUACAUAACUUCCUACAAUAAACGUUUUCUACUA